RNAcentral lists this transfer RNA (76 nucleotides) under Candidatus Omnitrophota bacterium. Its description in RNAcentral is "Candidatus Omnitrophica bacterium tRNA-Pro". It matches the Rfam family "tRNA". From Rfam's summary of the family: Transfer RNA (tRNA) molecules are approximately 80 nucleotides in length. Their secondary structure includes four short double-helical elements and three loops (D, anti-codon, and T loops). Lineage: Bacteria; Pseudomonadati; Candidatus Omnitrophota. The record is from RNAcentral.
CGGGGCGUGGCCCAGUCCGGCUUAGGGCACCUGAAUGGGGUUCAGGGGGUCCCCGGUUCGAAUCCGGGCGCCCCGA